Molecule: long non-coding RNA, 235 nt
Filed under: Olea europaea (common olive)
Lineage: Eukaryota; Viridiplantae; Streptophyta; Magnoliopsida; Lamiales; Oleaceae
Description: long non-coding RNA (OEUR_LNC014108)
Source: RNAcentral
GAAAAUAAACCAACAAAGUUCACUUGGAAAUUUUCACAAACACCUUGUAUGCACAACAAAGUUCAAGCCAACCCACCAAAAAAUCGGAGCUUAACCACCCUGAUUUAAGAAGAUACUCUGAUACCAAAUUGUUGGGAAAACACUCUUCCAAAGAUGCCCAAGAUCAAACAAACUUGAAAUGUGAUAAAUCUCAAACCACUUGAAAAGAUAAGAAAUUGGGGAAGAAAUGAUUUUU